Molecule: ribosomal RNA, 487 nt
Filed under: uncultured bacterium
Lineage: Bacteria
Description: bacterial SSU rRNA
Rfam family: Bacterial small subunit ribosomal RNA
Source: RNAcentral
AACGCUGGCGGCAGGCCUAACACAUGCAAGUCGAGCGGCAGCGGAAAGUAGCUUGCUACUUUGCCGGCGAGCGGCGGACGGGUGAGUAAUGUCUGGGAAACUGCCUGAUGGAGGGGGAUAACUACUGGAAACGGUAGCUAAUACCGCAUAACCUCGAAAGAGCAAAGUGGGGGGAUCUUCGGACCUCACGCCAUCGGAUGUGCCCAGAUGGGAUUAGCUAGUAGGUGAGGUAAUGGCUCACCUAGGCGACGAUCCCUAGCUGGUCUGAGAGGAUGACCAGCCACACUGGAACUGAGACACGGUCCAGACUCCUACGGGAGGCAGCAGUGGGGAAUAUUGCACAAUGGGCGCAAGCCUGAUGCAGCCAUGCCGCGUGUGUGAAGAAGGCCUUAGGGUUGUAAAGCACUUUCAGCGAGGAGGAAGGCAUCAUACUUAAUACGUGUGGUGAUUGACGUUACUCGCAGAAGAAGCACCGGCUAACUCCGUG